Molecule: ribosomal RNA, 442 nt
Filed under: uncultured bacterium
Lineage: Bacteria
Description: bacterial SSU rRNA
Rfam family: Bacterial small subunit ribosomal RNA
Source: RNAcentral
AACGCGAAGAACCUUACCAGGUCUUGACAUCCCAAUGACCGCUCUAGAGAUAGAGUUUUCCCUUCGGGGACAUUGGUGACAGGUGGUGCAUGGUUGUCGUCAGCUCGUGUCGUGAGAUGUUGGGUUAAGUCCCGCAACGAGCGCAACCCUUGAUCUUAGUUGCCAUCAUUUAGUUGGGCACUCUAAGGUGACUGCCGGUGACAAACCGGAGGAAGGUGGGGAUGACGUCAAAUCAUCAUGCCCCUUAUGACCUGGGCUACACACGUGCUACAAUGGACGAUACAAAGAGUCGCUAACUCGCGAGGGUAUGCUAAUCUCAUAAAAUCGUUCUCAGUUCGGAUUGUAGGCUGCAACUCGCCUACAUGAAGCCGGAAUCGCUAGUAAUCGUGGAUCAGCAUGCCACGGUGAAUACGUUCCCGGGCCUUGUACACACCGACGCGUA